UUUUUGGAGAGUUUGAUCCUGGCUCAGGACGAACGCUGGCGGCGUGCCUAAUACAUGCAAGUCGAGCGGAUCUUGCCCUUCGGGGCAAGGUUAGCGGCGGACGGGUGAGUAACACGUAGGCAACCUGCCCAUAAGACCGGGAUAACUGGCGGAAACGCCUGCUAAUACCGG
This 171-nucleotide ribosomal RNA is filed under the name Paenibacillus antri. Its description in RNAcentral is "Bacterial small subunit ribosomal RNA". It matches the Rfam family "Bacterial small subunit ribosomal RNA", at positions 1 to 172 of the family's 1533-position model. The record is from Rfam by way of RNAcentral. Lineage: Bacteria; Bacillati; Bacillota; Bacilli; Caryophanales; Paenibacillaceae.